Molecule: ribosomal RNA, 1059 nt
Filed under: uncultured bacterium
Lineage: Bacteria
Description: bacterial SSU rRNA
Rfam family: Bacterial small subunit ribosomal RNA
Source: RNAcentral
GUUUGAUCCUGGCUCAGAAUCAACGCUGGCGGCGCGCCUAACACAUGCAAGUCGCACGAGAAAGCGGGAGCAAUCUCGCAAGUAAAGUGGCGUACGGGUGAGUAACACGUGGAUCAUCUGCCCUGGAGUGGGGAAUAACGCUGGGAAACCGGCGCUAAUACCGCAUAUGCCCGAGAGGGGAAAGCAGCAAUGCGCUCGAGGAGGAGUCCGCGGCCGAUUAGCUAGUUGGCAGGGUAAAAGCCUACCAAGGCUAUGAUCGGUAGCCGGCCUGAGAGGGCACACGGCCACACUGGCACUGAAACACGGGCCAGACUCCUACGGGAGGCAGCAGUGGGGAAUCUUGCACAAUGGGGGAAACCCUGAUGCAGCGACGCCGCGUGAGCGAUGAAGCCCUUCGGGGUGUAAAGCUCUUUCGGCAGGGAAGAUUAUGACGGUACCUGCAGAAGCAGCUGCGGCUAACUACGUGCCAGCAGCCGCGGUAAUACGUAGGCAGCAAGCGUUGUUCGGAGUUACUGGGCGUAAAGGGUGUGUAGGUGGCGCGCUAAGUUCCGUGUGAAAUCUCCCGGCUCAACCGGGAGGGUGCGCGGAAAACUGGCGGGCUAGAGUGCGGGAUGGGAGAGUAGAAUUCCUGGUGUAGCGGUGAAAUGCGUAGAUAUCAGGAGGAAUACCGGUGGUGUAGACGGCUCUCUGGACCGUAACUGACACUGAAACACGAAAGCGUGGGUAGCAAACAGGAUUAGAUACCCUGGUAGUCCACGCCCUAAACGAUGCAUAUUUGGUGUAGGUCAUUCAGUUGAUCUGUGCCGGAGCUAACGCGUUAAAUAUGCCGCCUGGGGAGUACAGUCGCAAGGCUGAAACUCAAAGGGAAUUGACGGGGGCCCGCACAAGCGGUGGAGCAUGUGGUUCAAUUCGACGCAACGCGAAGAACCUUACCUGGGCUCGAACGGCUAGUCAACGAUCGUGUAGCACGGUUACUCCGCAAGGGGUCUAGUCGAGUGCUGCAUGGCUGUCGUCAGCUCGUGUCGUGAGAUGUUGGGUUAAGUCCCGCACGAGCCGCAA